AUCUCCGCCAUUUUGUGGACAGACGGUGGAGAGUCGCAGAAGUGUUCACAUUACUUCAGCCUUCACGACCAUAACCAGAUAACCUCUCACUCACACGCAUGAACCCUUGCAAGUAAUUGAACUGAAGAAUUAGCAGCAAUGAAUCUGAAAUAGUAAUAGUACAACCAUCACAACAGUCACCACUGCUAAAUACUACUACUACUACAACAGUGAAGUGGUGUCCAUUAGAGGUGGUGAGGCCAGAUGUUGAGAGAGGUCACUUUUCUCCUUAAGAUGUCUAUGACUUAGUGACAGAGAGUCAGAGAGGAAGGUCACUUAGUAAGGAGUGCAAUGAAGAGCUCCAGUUUUCCUUGAAUUUCUUCUCUCCUCACUUACUUUACCAGAAUCAUCACAUUUAUAUUGUAAUGAUGUAAUAAAGAAAAAUUGUACUGUAAUUAAUACCGGUGAUUUUUAAUUAUUACAAAUUUGUGCAUGUGUGUGUGAUUUUUAAUAUGCCACUGCUUUUAGUAGUCUAAUGGUGUUAUUAAUAGAUGGGUUAAGUUAAUUUACUUGUGUUUUAAACUUUAAUUAUCUACUUGUAAAUUUAGUAAGAAAAUUGAUUGCAAUUAAUAAUGGCUUAUGGUAUUCUAUUCAAUGAGUUGGGUUUCAUUACUGUUAUGUCAUUUAAAUGUAAUUUUACACACACACACACACACACACACACACACACACACAUUUCUGCCUCAUCCUGUGUUUAUUACAAAUCACAAACACAAUUUCUUCCUUUGUCUUCUCAAGUUACUAAAAUUACCCUUUAACUCAACAAAACACACAAUUUAUGCUUCCUUCUAAAUCACAAAAGCACAAUUUUUCCCUCACCCCAAAACAAAAUCUCUCUACUCAUCUCAUCAUUAAUGUAGUUUGAGUGUUAAUAAAACAAUAAUAACAUUUAGUAAAUAUUUAUUGGAAAUAGUAUUGAUUGAUUGAUCUGUAAAAUAAGAUGUUAGUGCUGGUUUUAAUAAUACUGAGAACUUGAGAACAAUAACAAAAUCAAUAAAAAAUAAUAAUAAUAACAUAAA
Long non-coding RNA from Scylla paramamosain (green mud crab), 1058 nucleotides. RefSeq lists it as uncharacterized. NCBI's taxonomy places the organism in Eukaryota, Metazoa, Arthropoda, Malacostraca, Decapoda, Portunidae. The transcript has 5 exons. The record is from RefSeq and is a predicted model, not a curated record.